Molecule: ribosomal RNA, 792 nt
Filed under: uncultured Rheinheimera sp.
Lineage: Bacteria; Pseudomonadati; Pseudomonadota; Gammaproteobacteria; Chromatiales; Chromatiaceae
Description: bacterial SSU rRNA
Rfam family: Bacterial small subunit ribosomal RNA
Source: RNAcentral
CCCUGGCACAAUACUGACGCUCAGGUGCGAAAAGCGUGGGGAGCAAACAGGUAUUAGAUACCCUGGUAGUCCACGCCGUAAACGAUGUCUACUAGCUGUUCGUGGUCUUGUACUGUGAGUAGCGCAGCUAACGCACUAAGUAGACCGCCUGGGGAGUACGGUCGCAAGAUUAAAACUCAAAUGAAUUGACGGGGGCCCGCACAAGCGGUGGAGCAUGUGGUUUAAUUCGACGCAACGCGAAGAACCUUACCUACUCUUGACAUCUAGCGAAGAUUGCAGAGAUGCAGUUGUGCCUUCGGGAACGCUAAGACAGGUGCUGCAUGGCUGUCGUCAGCUCGUGUUGUGAAAUGUUGGGUUAAGUCCCGCAACGAGCGCAACCCUUAUCCUUAGUUGCCAGCACGUAAUGGUGGGAACUCUAGGGAGACUGCCGGUGAUAAACCGGAGGAAGGUGGGGACGACGUCAAGUCAUCAUGGCCCUUACGAGUAGGGCUACACACGUGCUACAAUGGUACGUACAGAGGGAGGCAAGCUGGCGACAGUGAGCGGAUCUCUUAAAGCGUAUCGUAGUCCGGAUCGCAGUCUGCAACUCGACUGCGUGAAGUCGGAAUCGCUAGUAAUCGCAAAUCAGAAUGUUGCGGUGAAUACGUUCCCGGGCCUUGUACACACCGCCCGUCACACCAUGGGAGUGGGUUGCAAAAGAAGUAGGUAGCUUUAUCCUUCGGAGGGCGCUUACCCACUUUGUGAUUUCAUGACUGGGGUGAAGUCGUACCAAGGUAACCAAAUCACUUAGUG